This is a non-coding RNA of Neolamprologus brichardi, 378 nucleotides long. The record is from RefSeq and is a predicted model, not a curated record. NCBI's taxonomy places the organism in Eukaryota, Metazoa, Chordata, Actinopteri, Cichliformes, Cichlidae.
UAUGUAACCCCAAACCGGGCAAGGGGGAGUCCUGUCUAAGCCACCCCAACCUGCUGAUGGACAUGCUAGCCUGGGACCAGGAGGGUCCCCGUGACCACUGCCCCUGUGCCGAUGACCUUCAGUGCCAGCCUCAUGGCCGUGGAUCUGUGUGUGGAUAACAGUACUGGAGAUUUACAGUGCAGCAGAGUUAGAUGAAAUGACCUUAACGAUCCAAAGACGGACGCCUCUGCUGAUCAACAGCUGCUGGAAGUACAGGCUGUUGCUUCAGGACUGAACUUGCACUCACUGUAUUAUUUAUGCCUUACUGCCAGUGUAUAUUAUAUAUAUAUUAAAAACAACAACAACAAUAAAUGACUUGUUUUCAGCUUUGAGAACCAA